AGUCGGGUACAGGAGCUGGAGACGAGCUUGGCUGAACUGAGGAACCAGAUGGGUAAGCUGGGGCUGGGGUGACCUGGGAGCAGGAAUGGUGUCAGAGGGCUGUGGGGGUGGUUUAGAAUGCCCCAGGGAGUUGGGUGGAUGGAAUGGCUUUGAGGCAGAGGGAAAGAGGUCUGUGCCAGGAGAUGGCAAGUCUCGUCAUCUCCAUGAGCCUCAGUGCCCCAUCAGCAAAGACGAAGGAGUGCCUGUUGUCAGCCACCCACAGUUGUCGCUAUCGGAAAGUGGUUUGGAAGAUUGGCUAACAUCCGGGUGCGAGGAAUCAUCAGCAGGGAGGCCAAGUUUGGGGAGCUUGAGAGGAGAGCCCCCAGCAGGGCCCUCCGAGGUGGAGCAGCAGCUACAAGCGGAGGCUGAGCACCUGCGGAAGGAGCUGGAGGGUCUGGCAGGACAGCUUCAAGCCCAGGUGCAAGACAAUGAGGGC
RNAcentral lists this small RNA (475 nucleotides) under Pan troglodytes (chimpanzee). RNAcentral describes it as "retained intron". The record is from RNAcentral. Lineage: Eukaryota; Metazoa; Chordata; Mammalia; Primates; Hominidae.